CCUACGGGUGGCAGCAGUCGAGAAUCAUUCACAAUGGGGGAAACCCUGAUGGUGCGACGCCGCGUGGGGGAAUGAAGGUCUUCGGAUUGUAAACCCCUGUCAUGUGGGAGCAAAUUAAAAAGAUAGUACCACAAGAGGAAGAGACGGCUAACUCUGUGCCAGCAGCCGCGGUAAUACAGAGGUCUCAAGCGUUGUUCGGAAUCACUUGGCGUAAAGCGUGCGUAGGCUGUUUCGUAAGUCGUGUGUGAAAGGCGCGGGCUCAACCCGCGGACGGCACAUGAUACUGCGAGACUAGAGUAAGGGAGGGGGAACCGGAAUUCUCGGUGUAGCAGUGAAAUGCGUAGAUAUCGAGAGGAACACUCGUGGCGAAGGCGGGUUCCUGGACAUUAACUGACGCUGAGGCACGAAGGCCAGGGGAGCGAAAGGGAUUAGAUACCCUAGUAGUC
RNAcentral lists this ribosomal RNA (446 nucleotides) under uncultured bacterium. RNAcentral's name for it is "partial 16S ribosomal RNA". It matches the Rfam family "Bacterial small subunit ribosomal RNA", at positions 338 to 795 of the family's 1533-position model. The record is from RNAcentral.